GGGCGAUUAGCUCAGCUGGCAGAGCAGGUGACUCUUAAUCACAAGGUCUGGGGUUCGAUCCCCCAAUCGCCCACCA
RNAcentral lists this transfer RNA (76 nucleotides) under Coriobacteriia bacterium. Its description in RNAcentral is "tRNA-Lys". It matches the Rfam family "tRNA". Rfam says of the family: Transfer RNA (tRNA) molecules are approximately 80 nucleotides in length. Their secondary structure includes four short double-helical elements and three loops (D, anti-codon, and T loops). The record is from RNAcentral. Lineage: Bacteria; Bacillati; Actinomycetota; Coriobacteriia.